Molecule: long non-coding RNA, 845 nt
Organism: Carassius auratus (goldfish)
Lineage: Eukaryota; Metazoa; Chordata; Actinopteri; Cypriniformes; Cyprinidae
Exons: 3
Source: RefSeq, a predicted model, not a curated record
AACGUGCUUGCAGACAACACGUGUCUCAUUAGCAGGAAGCCAUUUUGCUCCUAUCUCGAAACGAAGACUCUCAGAACUCAUCUAAGAUGCCACGUGGAAAGGGUUUCCGCCGGUCCCAGGCGGCCAAGAGGAGGAAUGCUGAGCGUUACACGCUCGGUUCCUUCAUGGAUGUCAUUGAGGUUAUGCCUCCUUUAAAACAAAAGGCUGCUCCCCACAGCUCUGACAAACAGAGCCAUGAGAACGCUGACAGAGAGAAUGCCGACAGAGAACGCUCACAGAGAAAACUGUUUGAAUUGCCGUAAGGCUCCUGAAAAUGUUCCAAACUCUAUCACAAAUGUUCCAAAGUUUGCUACAAGUGUUGCCAAAAGUGUUCCAAAGUCUACCAAAAGUGUUCCAAAGUCUGCCACAAGUGUUACUAAAAGUGUUCCAAAGUCUGCCACAAGUGUUACUAAAAGUGUUCCAAAGUCUGACACAAGUGUUCCAGUGUCUAGCAAAAGCUGGAGUGAUGUUACCAGAGCUUCACUUGUCAAUAACUCUGGUUAUUUCCCACAGAAAGUCAUACGUGGUUCUUUCCAUCAGGGUGAUGCGCGAUUUGGUUCGAACAGAAACCGUCAGUGUGCAGUGAACAGUAUCACAGCAGUCAUGACGAGUGUGCUGAAGGAUGUGCUGACGUGGACAACAGAGGACCUGAAUGCUGUUCUGUUGCAUGGAGAUGAGCUGUACACAUCAAUGACACUGCAGGGGCAGAUCCACGAUCGAACAGGGCUGGGUCAUAUUUCUGUUGCAGAAAUGCCCAUACUGCACACACUUGAUAACACAACAUUCUCAAUAAAGCAUGGAGAAUC